RNAcentral lists this long non-coding RNA (670 nucleotides) under Gossypium barbadense (sea-island cotton). Its description in RNAcentral is "long non-coding RNA (GBAR_LNC014595)". The record is from RNAcentral. Lineage: Eukaryota; Viridiplantae; Streptophyta; Magnoliopsida; Malvales; Malvaceae.
UUUAGUUUCUUGAAUCUAAUAUUAGUUACAAUUUCAUACAAAUAAAGACUUUGAACAAGCAGUUUUGGCCUAUCAUUCAAAACCUCUUAUCAUGUCAAACAAAACUAUAAUCAAACACUUUCAACCCCCAAAAGAAAACUAUAUAAAAGAUUCAAAUUGAAAUCCUUCUCUUUUAUCCUUGAUCAGGCCUUUCCUUUUUCCUCGUGAAUUAGUCUUAUUCUCAAGCAAGACCCAAACCCUUGAAAAAAAUCAAACAAAUGAAAGCCGAAGUGAUUCAGCUCCCAAAUUGGCUUGGACUCAUCUCAUCUAGUCAUCUUUGGAAUUGGACAGAUAGUUUGGAAUUUCAUUUUUCCUUCCUGAGAUCAUAUAGUUAAUUUGGAACAAAAGGAUUAAAAAUAAUGAGUUGUUUUAAGACUGAGUAUAACUAUACAAAAUAUUAAAGAAGAAGAGCACACCAGAUAAUUAAAGAAGAAGAGCACACCAGAUAACAUAUAGGACCUGAACACAUUUAUCUGCCAUGUUAAUCACUGUUGAAGUUGGCCUGCAUGCAGACAAGGAGCAGACCAUGCAGCCCGAGCCAUGCAGUUGCAGCUGAAAUUCAAGCUGCUGUUUCAUUUUGUUACUUUCAAAUGAUGUUCUGUAACUUAGUUAGAUUAUAACUAAGUUGUUA